CUUAUGCGUUGUUGGGUAGGGGAGCGUUCUGUAAGCCUGCGAAGGUGGCCUGUGAGGGUUGCUGGAGGUAUCAGAAGUGCGAAUGCUGACAUAAGUAACGAUAAAGCGGGUGAAAAGCCCGCUCGCCGGAAGACCAAGGGUUCCUGUCCAACGUUAAUCGGGGCAGGGUGAGUCGACCCCUAAGGCGAGGCCGAAAGGCGUAGUCGAUGGGAAACGGGUUAAUAUUCCCGUACUUGGUGUUACUGCGAAGGGGGGACGGAGAAGGCUAUGUUGGCCGGGCGACGGUUGUCCCGGUUUAAGCGUGUAGGCUGGUUUUCCAGGCAAAUCCGGAAAAUCAAGGCUGAGGCGUGAUGACGAGGCACUACGGUGCUGAAGCAACAAAUGCCCUGCUUCCAGGAAAAGCCUCUAAGCAUCAGGUAACAUCAAAUCGUACCCCAAACCGACACAGGUGGUCAGGUAGAGAAUACCAAGGCGCUUGAGAGAACUCGGGUGAAGGAACUAGGCAAAAUGGUGCCGUAACUUCGGGAGAAGGCACGCUGACACGUAGGUGAAGUGAUUUACUCAUGGAGCUGAAGUCAGUCGAAGAUACCAGCUGGCUGCAACUGUUUAUUAAAAACACAGCACUGUGCAAACACGAAAGUGGACGUAUACGGUGUGACGCCUGCCCGGUGCCGGAAGGUUAAUUGAUGGGGUCAGCGCAAGCGAAGCUCCUGAUCGAAGCCCCGGUAAACGGCGGCCGUAACUAUAACGGUCCUAAGGUAGCGAAAUUCCUUGUCGGGUAAGUUCCGACCUGCACGAAUGGCGUAAUGAUGGCCAGGCUGUCUCCACCCGAGACUCAGUGAAAUUGAACUCGCUGUGAAGAUGCAGUGUACCCGCGGCAAGACGGAAAGACCCCGUGAACCUUUACUAUAGCUUGACACUGAACAUUGAGCCUUGAUGUGUAGGAUAGGUGGGAGGCUUUGAAGUGUGGACGCCAGUCUGCAUGGAGCCGACCUUGAAAUACCACCCUUUAAUGUUUGAUGUUCUAACGUGGACCCGUUACCCGGGUUGCGGACAGUGUCUGGUGGGUAGUUUGACUGGGGCGGUCUCCUCCUAAAGAGUAACGGAGGAGCACGAAGGUUGGCUAAUCCUGGUCGGACAUCAGGAGGUUAGUGCAAUGGCAUAAGCCAGCUUGACUGCGAGCGUGACGGCGCGAGCAGGUGCGAAAGCAGGUCAUAGUGAUCCGGUGGUUCUGAAUGGAAGGGCCAUCGCUCAACGGAUAAAAGGUACUCCGGGGAUAACAGGCUGAUACCGCCCAAGAGUUCAUAUCGACGGCGGUGUUUGGCACCUCGAUGUCGGCUCAUCACAUCCUGGGGCUGAAGUAGGUCCCAAGGGUAUGGCUGUUCGCCAUUUAAAGUGGUACGCGAGCUGGGUUUAGAACGUCGUGAGACAGUUCGGUCCCUAUCUGCCGUGGGCGCUGGAGAACUGAGGGGGGCUGCUCCUAGUACGAGAGGACCGGAGUGGACGCAUCACUGGUGUUCGGGUUGUCAUGCCAAUGGCACUGCCCGGUAGCUAAAUGCGGAAGAGAUAAGUGCUGAAAGCAUCUAAGCACGAAACUUGCCCCGAG
This 1606-nucleotide ribosomal RNA is filed under the name Salmonella enterica subsp. enterica serovar Enteritidis. RNAcentral's name for it is "partial 23S ribosomal RNA". It matches the Rfam family "Bacterial large subunit ribosomal RNA", at positions 1213 to 2803 of the family's 2925-position model. Lineage: Bacteria; Pseudomonadati; Pseudomonadota; Gammaproteobacteria; Enterobacterales; Enterobacteriaceae. The record is from RNAcentral.